GCUCUCUUGGCGGCGAGUGGCGGACGGGUGAGUAAUAUAUCGGAACGUGCCCAGUAGCGGGGGAUAACUACUCGAAAGAGUGGCUAAUACCGCAUACGCCCUACGGGGGAAKGGGGGGGAUCGCAAGACCUCUCACUAUUGGAGCGGCCGAUAUCGGAUUAGCUAGUUGGUGGGGUAAAGGCUCACCAAGGCAACGAUCCGUAGCUGGUUUGAGAGGACGACCAGCCACACUGGGACUGAGACACGGCCCAGACUCCUACGGGAGGCAGCAGUGGGGAAUUUUGGACAAUGGGGGAAACCCUGAUCCAGCCAUCCCGCGUGUAUGAUGAAGGCCUUCGGGUUGUAAAGUACUUUUGGCAGARAAGAAAAGGUACCUCCUAAUACGAGGUACUG
Molecule: ribosomal RNA, 393 nt
Filed under: bacterium enrichment culture clone 1B
Lineage: Bacteria
Description: bacterial SSU rRNA
Rfam family: Bacterial small subunit ribosomal RNA
Source: RNAcentral